This 100-nucleotide small RNA is filed under the name Pongo abelii (Sumatran orangutan). RNAcentral's name for it is "processed transcript". The record is from RNAcentral. Lineage: Eukaryota; Metazoa; Chordata; Mammalia; Primates; Hominidae.
GACAAAGUGCUUCUCAAGUACACGGAGUACAAUGAGCCGCAUGAGAGCCGGACAAACUCAGACAUCGUGGAGUAACAGAGCAGCAGCAGCCACAGAUGGC